GACGGACGCUGGCUGCGUGCUUAACACAUGCAAGUCGAACGCUGAAGCCCCAGCUUGCUGGGGUGGAUGAGUGGCGAACGGGUGAGUAACACGUGAGUAACCUGCCCCUGACUUCGGGAUAAGCCCGGGAAACUGGGUCUAAUACCGGAUACGACUAUCGGACGCAUGUCUGGUGGUGGAAAGUUUUUUCGGUUGGGGAUGGGCUCGCGGCCUAUCAGUUUGUUGGUGAGGUAAUGGCUCACCAAGACGACGACGGGUAGCCGGCCUGAGAGGGCGACCGGCCACACUGGGACUGAGACACGGCCCAGACUCCUACGGGAGGCAGCAGUGGGGAAUAUUGCACAAUGGGGGAAACCCUGAUGCAGCGACGCAGCGUGCGGGAUGACGGCCUUCGGGUUGUAAACCGCUUUCAGCAGGGAAGAAGCCUUCGGAUGACGGUACCUGCAGAAGAAGUACCGGCUAACUACGUG
RNAcentral lists this ribosomal RNA (470 nucleotides) under uncultured bacterium. Its description in RNAcentral is "partial 16S ribosomal RNA". It matches the Rfam family "Bacterial small subunit ribosomal RNA", at positions 28 to 507 of the family's 1533-position model. The record is from RNAcentral.